Molecule: ribosomal RNA, 434 nt
Filed under: uncultured bacterium
Lineage: Bacteria
Description: partial 16S ribosomal RNA
Rfam family: Bacterial small subunit ribosomal RNA
Source: RNAcentral
AGCGAACGCUGGCGGCAGGCCUAACACAUGCAAGUCGAACGAACCUUUCGGGGUUAGUGGCGGACGGGUGAGUAACACGUGGGAACGUGCCUUUAGGUUCGGAAUAACUCAGGGAAACUUGUGCUAAUACCGAAUGUGCCCUUCGGGGGAAAGAUUUAUCGCCUUUAGAGCGGCCCGCGUCUGAUUAGCUAGUUGGUUGAGGUAAUGGCUCACCAAGGCGACGAUCAGUAGCUGGUCUGAGAGGAUGAUCAGCCACAUUGGGACUGAGACACGGCCCAAACUCCUACGGGAAGCAGCAGUGGGGAAUCUUGCGCAAUGGGCGAAAGCCUGACGCAGCCAUGCCGCGUGAAUGAUGAAGGUCUUAGGAUUGUAAAAUUCUCUCACCGGGGACGAUAAUGACGGUACCCGGAGAAGAAGCCCCGGCUAACUUCGUG